This 624-nucleotide long non-coding RNA is filed under the name Athene cunicularia (burrowing owl). Its description in RNAcentral is "lncRNA (ENSACUG00000005440.1)". The record is from RNAcentral. Lineage: Eukaryota; Metazoa; Chordata; Aves; Strigiformes; Strigidae.
AACGACCUCGUCUCUCCGAGACCUUCUGGUAUUUCAGGAGUUGCAGGGUUGCACGUUUCCUGCAUUUGUAUUUCUGUUUAUUUUAGUCUCCAGCAGGGACCAAGCACACAGCCAGUUGGGUUCCGGGGGUGGCCGUGGUUUCGUUUUGAGGAGCAGUCAGCGCCACGCCGCUUCCCCCUGCCCCGCGCGGGAGGGACGCUCCGAGCCGGGGCUCAGGGCCCCCUUCCCACCAGAGUCAUCACGCCUGCUCUGGGAAGGCCUUGGAAGAGCUGCUGGAGAAUUCCGGAAGGAGAGAAUAUUUACCAGGAGUGAGAAAAGACAAUGGAGCCGGACAUUUUAAAUGCAUUUACCCAGCCUGCUGCACUUAAUCAAUUCCUAGCUGAGAAUGUCAUCGCUCAAGGUGAGAAGAAGAAACUUAUAAAACCGACCUCAAGCAACAAUCCCAAAUUGGAAGAAUUAAAACUGGUACCAUUUAUUUUAUUAUAUCGUUUAACCCUCUCCUCAAGUUGUUUUCGCCUGUUGUGUUGAUGCUCAGCCCUGUAGGUUCCCCAGCCCUUUGGCCUCAGCCCCCCCAGGGAUGGGGGCGAGCUCUGCUUUUGGCACUUGGGCUCCACACAACUAAAC